Molecule: long non-coding RNA, 488 nt
Organism: Coregonus clupeaformis (lake whitefish)
Lineage: Eukaryota; Metazoa; Chordata; Actinopteri; Salmoniformes; Salmonidae
Exons: 3
Source: RefSeq, a predicted model, not a curated record
UGUCCGUCUGUGUGUUGCGGCUCGGUCGGGACGGGGGACUUCGCCAGGAAAUAAUACACAUUUCCCCCUGAGGAAGGCCGACACAAGCCACAUAUUCUGACAACCUAGAGAACUAUCCUCAAGAGGAGUGUCGACUUGGUGUGUUGGAGCGACCCCAAAAAACGGAUUUUACAGCAACUGUUCUUCCGUUGUGAUGUCGGGUCCUGGGUCUCGAAGGAACGGGUCCAGCAUCAAAAUCCGGCUGACAGUAUUAUGUGCCAAGAACCUUGCAAAGAAAGACUUCUUCCGGCUGCCGGACCCAUUUGCUAAGGUAGUGGUGGAUGGAUCAGGACAGUGUCAUUCUACAGACACAGUGAAGAGUACUCUAGACCCCAAAUGGAACCAACACUAUGACCUGUGAGUACACACAGACACACACAGUGUUUUCCACCAGUACAUAGUGGAGCCAGUACAUAGUGGAGCCAGUACAUAGUGGAGCCAGUACAUAG